CAUUCGCGUGGUCUCAAACCCCGACGUCAAACCGUUGGUCGUAAAACCCAGCAUCACCUAAUCCUAAGGUCGAAGUGUUGCUCUUCGCACCCCACGCCUCGACGCGUACAGUGGUCGGAGCCUCGCUACUCCUUCGACCUCCACAACACGCCGCACCGCUUUCAAUUUGCUUAUAGGCUUUAUUUGCUAUCUUUUCGUAUCCGUACGUUAGACCAUACAACAAGUUUUAUCAGCAUCCAAGGAGCUAACGUGGACCCAGAUGGCUACGCUGAAGCCGCGGGAAGUCUUAAGGCGCAAGGCAAGACAUAA
This 309-nucleotide long non-coding RNA is filed under the name Oryza sativa Indica Group (long-grained rice). Its description in RNAcentral is "lncRNA OsIR64_02g0015880". The record is from RNAcentral. Lineage: Eukaryota; Viridiplantae; Streptophyta; Magnoliopsida; Poales; Poaceae.